This 432-nucleotide ribosomal RNA is filed under the name uncultured bacterium. RNAcentral's name for it is "partial 16S ribosomal RNA". It matches the Rfam family "Bacterial small subunit ribosomal RNA", at positions 338 to 795 of the family's 1533-position model. The record is from RNAcentral.
CCUACGGGUGGCAGCAGUCGAGAAUUUUUCUCAAUGGGGGCAACCCUGAAGGAGCGACGCCGCGUGGAGGAUGAAGGCUUUCGGGUUGUAAACUCCUGUCAUUUGAGAACUAGUAUCAGAAGAGGAAGGGACGGCUAACUCUGUGCCAGCAGCCGCGGUAAUACAGAGGUCCCAAGCGUUGUUCGGAUUCAUUGGGCGUAAAGGGUGCGUAGGUGGCGUCGUAAGUCGGGUGUGAAAUCUCGGGGCUUAACUCCGAAACUGCAUUCGAUACUGCGGUGCUUGAGGACUGGAGAGGAGACUGGAAUUUACGGUGUAGCAGUGAAAUGCGUAGAGAUCGUAAGGAAGACCAGUGGCGAAGGCGGGUCUCUGGACAGUCCUGACACUGAGGCACGAAGGCCAGGGGAGCAAACGGGAUUAGAUACCCUUGUAGUC